RNAcentral lists this ribosomal RNA (557 nucleotides) under uncultured bacterium. Its description in RNAcentral is "bacterial SSU rRNA". It matches the Rfam family "Bacterial small subunit ribosomal RNA", at positions 102 to 694 of the family's 1533-position model. The record is from RNAcentral.
ACGGGUGCGUAACGCGUGGGAAUCUGCCCUUAGGUUCGGAAUAACAGCUGGAAACGGCUGCUAAUACCGGAUGAUGACGAAAGUCCAAAGAUUUAUUGCCUGAGGAUGAGCCCGCGCUGGAUUAGGUAGUUGGUGGGGUAAAGGCCUACCAAGCCGACGAUCCAUAGCUGGUCUGAGAGGAUGAUCAGCCACACUGGGACUGAGACACGGCCCAGACUCCUACGGGAGGCAGCAGUGGGGAAUAUUGGACAAUGGGCGAAAGCCUGAUCCAGCAAUGCCGCGUGAGUGAUGAAGGCCCUAGGGUUGUAAAGCUCUUUUACCCGGGAAGAUAAUGACUGUACCGGGAGAAUAAGCCCCGGCUAACUCCGUGCCAGCAGCCGCGGUAAUACGGAGGGGGCUAGCGUUGUUCGGAAUUACUGGGCGUAAAGCGCACGUAGGCGGCUUUGUAAGUCAGAGGUGAAAGCCUGGAGCUCAACUCCAGAACUGCCUUUGAGACUGCAUCGCUUGAAUCCAGGAGAGGUCAGUGGAAUUCCGAGUGUAGAGGUGAAAUUCGUAGA